CAGCCGCCACGGGAAUACGUAGGUGGCAAGCGUUAUCCGGAAUUAUUGGGCGUAAAGCGCGCGUAGGCGGUUUUUUAAGUCUGAUGUGAAAGCCCACGGCUCAACCGUGGAGGGUCAUUGGAAACUGGAAAACUUGAGUGCAGAAGAGGAAAGUGGAAUUCCAAGUGUAGCGGUGAAAUGCGCAGAGAUAUGGAGGAACACCAGUGGCGAAGGCGACUUUCUGGUCUGUAACUGACGCUGAGGAGCGAAAGCGUGGGGAGCGAACAGGAUUAGAUACCCCAGUAGUCCCUGUCUCUUAUAC
This 301-nucleotide ribosomal RNA is filed under the name uncultured bacterium. RNAcentral's name for it is "partial 16S ribosomal RNA". It matches the Rfam family "Bacterial small subunit ribosomal RNA", at positions 509 to 807 of the family's 1533-position model. The record is from RNAcentral.